RNAcentral lists this ribosomal RNA (252 nucleotides) under uncultured bacterium. RNAcentral describes it as "partial 16S ribosomal RNA". It matches the Rfam family "Bacterial small subunit ribosomal RNA", at positions 239 to 504 of the family's 1533-position model. The record is from RNAcentral.
GAUUAGCUGGUUGGUGAGGUAACGGCUCUACCAAGGCAACGAUCAGUAGCCGGCUUGAGAGAGUGAACGGCCACAUUGGGACUGAGACACGGCCCAGACUCCUACGGGAGGCAGCAGUGGGGGAUAUUGCACAAUGGAGGAAACUCUGAUGCAGCGACGCCGCGUGAGGGAAGACGGUUUUCGGAUUGUAAACCUCUGUCUUCAGGGACGAAAUGAAUGACGGUACCUGAGGAGGAAGCUCCGGCUAACUAC